UCCUAAGAUCAUGAAAGUACGUCCAGAGAUA
RNAcentral lists this small RNA (31 nucleotides) under Plasmodium falciparum 3D7. Its description in RNAcentral is "Pfa-starR6510a". The record is from RNAcentral. Lineage: Eukaryota; Apicomplexa; Aconoidasida; Haemosporida; Plasmodiidae.